This 173-nucleotide small RNA is filed under the name Candidatus Zhuqueibacterota. Its description in RNAcentral is "Candidate division c-di-AMP sequence". It matches the Rfam family "c-di-AMP riboswitch aptamer (ydaO/yuaA leader)". Rfam says of the family: This family represents a conserved RNA structure found upstream of the ydaO and yuaA genes in Bacillus subtilis and related genes in other bacteria. The ydaO/yuaA element is thought to act as a genetic "off" switch for the ydaO and yuaA genes in its native state. The record is from RNAcentral. Lineage: Bacteria; Pseudomonadati.
UUUUAUAGGUCGCCUAACCCCCCAAUUGGGGGGGCGGAGGAACCAAGUGUUCGCCACGCAAAGCGAAGCGGACAUUGUGCAAAUUAAUCAUGGGGCGAAUCCCCCAAAUGGGGGUAGGGUCAGCUCUUGAUCCGAGCCCGACAGCUAACUUCGUAGGCGUCAAGAGAGGAACA